GAGCAUGUUUAUUCCGGAAAGUUGUGUGGUAUAGUAUUUAUAACUUGUUUUUUUUUUUUGUUUUUGUUUAUGAAAUACUUACCACACUGUUCUUUUAAGAGGGGUCUACAGUCCUUGAUUCUUAUAAUGAGAGAAUAAAUGAUGAUCACGCAGACAAAGUCGUAUCUAGCUUUCGUUCUUAUAACAAGGAACCGUCAUUGUUAGACCAGAACAAGUGUUGGUUUUGGUGCAGGUAUGUCAGUCUGCAGAUGGAUGGGUAGAGCUAUUGAGACAUGGUGGUGGUUUGGCGGUUGUUUCCAAGAUGGUAUUUGGUGUGUCUUCGGUGGCGAGUAGGAGAGCGGUGAGGAUAUUGUAUUUGGUGGCGAUGUUUGGUAGUAGUGCGCGUGUUUUGCAAGAGAAGAUUGAGUUGGGGGUGGUUGAAAAGCUUAUGUUGGUGUUGCAAGUGGAUUGUGGAAGAAAGAUGAAGGAAAAAAGCAAGGGAUAUACUGAAGAUACAUUCUAGGUUUUGGAGAAAUUUACUUGCAUAACUUCUUAUUUGAUUUAAGGAAAAACAAUUGAAUUGAUUACAA
This is a long non-coding RNA of Helianthus annuus (common sunflower), 569 nucleotides long. RefSeq lists it as uncharacterized. NCBI's taxonomy places the organism in Eukaryota, Viridiplantae, Streptophyta, Magnoliopsida, Asterales, Asteraceae. The record is from RefSeq and is a predicted model, not a curated record. The transcript is spliced from 2 exons.